This 246-nucleotide unclassified non-coding RNA is filed under the name Hevea brasiliensis (rubber tree). The record is from RNAcentral. Lineage: Eukaryota; Viridiplantae; Streptophyta; Magnoliopsida; Malpighiales; Euphorbiaceae.
UUCAGGGAUUGUGGAGUUGAAAGAGAAAGUGGCCAAGAGGUUGAAGUUGGAGGUGGGUAAUUUUGAUAUAAAGUACCUGGAUGAUGAUCAUGAAUGGGUUUUGAUAGCCUGUGAUGCAGACCUGCAGGAGUGUAUUGAUUUUUCAAGAUCAUCAGGCAGCAGUAUAAUCAGAUUGUCAGUUCAUGAUAUGAAUGCCAAUCUUGGAAGCUCCUGGGAGAGCAAUGGCGAGUUAUGAUUAGGUUGUAU